AGGACUUUUUCAGAUUAACUUUAAAUCCUGAUUUAAAAAUAACAACUUUUUUAUAAUAACUAUGAUCACACAAUCCUGGCGCAACGUGUAGGUAACAGCUGAUUGAUAGCAUGAAAUGUUUCAAUGCAUCCAGCGCGAAAGAGAGAAACCGUUAGGAGAACGAAACAACCAAUCAGCGCUCUCGCCCACAACUGUCAGAUAGGUUCCUGGCAAAUCAUCCUAUCCGGCAAUGUAAACAAUAUUUUGCAGAGUACGCAUAGGACUUUUCGUGUUUUGAAAAUUGUGGUUGUUUUUUUUUUUUUGCUUUUUGCCGUUUUUGAGUGUUUUAAUGUUGUUAAGCUGAAUAACUUGUGUUAAGAUCUCGUCGGAAAACUACUAAGCGUGUCCAAAUCUCGGUCAACAGUUUACAAUUCCAUGACGCAACGAUAAGGAUGAUUUUGGGCGGGUUCGCGGCCACGCAAUGCAUCACGUCGAUUUAAAUUUUCCAAGCAGGGAGACGAUUACGACUUGGCAAAAAAUUACCCGGACGAGCGGAAAGCCUCGAACAAGAUGACCAUCAACAAGUGCCGGCAACAGCCACAGGUCAUGAUUUUGCUGUUCAGUGGGAAACUGAUAUUUAACAUGGACUUGGAAAAGCUAUCUACUAACUGCUUCAAGUCUGAAUGGUCAUGACCGAGUACACCAUUCCAUGGCCAUUCCAAGCCGGUGAACAGGGUCAAGGUCGUCGGUCUGGCAAGUCCGUAUCAUUUUGCUC
Long non-coding RNA from Culex pipiens pallens (northern house mosquito), 754 nucleotides. RefSeq lists it as uncharacterized. The record is from RefSeq and is a predicted model, not a curated record. The transcript is spliced from 3 exons. Lineage: Eukaryota; Metazoa; Arthropoda; Insecta; Diptera; Culicidae.